This 424-nucleotide long non-coding RNA is filed under the name Homo sapiens (human). RNAcentral describes it as "HSALNT0353956". The record is from RNAcentral. Lineage: Eukaryota; Metazoa; Chordata; Mammalia; Primates; Hominidae.
CGGCGGAAGACGCCUGCGGGGCGGGUGCGGGAGCGCCUCCUGGUGGACAACGCAGCCAACAUUGAACACUUCUCUGCACCAUUGGAUAUGCAUUUACUGAGAACCUGCUGCUUAUUCAACCGGUAUUUUAUUACAGCUUGACUGCCAUGUAUAAGACAUACAAUAAACUGAACGUUUAAAAUGUACAGCUUGAUAAAUUAUGCAUUUACUGAGAACCUGCUGCUUAUUCAACCGGUAUUUUAUUACAGCUUGACUGCCAUGUAUAAGACAUACAAUAAACUGAACGUUUAAAAUGUACAGCUUGAUAAAUUAUGCAUUUACUGAGAACCUGCUGCUUAUUCAACCGGUAUUUUAUUACAGCUUGACUGCCAUGUAUAAGACAUACAAUAAACUGAAUGUUUAAAAUGUACAGUUUGAUAAGUUU